GCGGGAAUCCCCGCCCAAGACCUCCUCCCGGAGUGCUUCGGCACUCCCCUAAGGCCACAGGAAGACGACCUGCUUGAUAGGCCGGAGGUGAAAGCGCGGCAACGUGCGUAGCCGACCGGUACUAAGCGGCCGGGUGGUUUGAC
RNAcentral lists this ribosomal RNA (143 nucleotides) under Deltaproteobacteria bacterium. Its description in RNAcentral is "partial 23S ribosomal RNA". It matches the Rfam family "Bacterial large subunit ribosomal RNA", at positions 2785 to 2925 of the family's 2925-position model. Lineage: Bacteria; Pseudomonadati; Myxococcota; Myxococcia. The record is from RNAcentral.